AGAGUUUGAUCCUGGCUCAGGAUGAACGCUGGCGGCGUGCCUAACACAUGCAAGUCGAACGGAGUUCUUAAGGAAUGCGGCUUCGGUCAAAUGACUUUUGAACUUAGUGGCGGACGGGUGAGUAACGCGUGAGCAACCUGCCUUUCAGAGGGGGAUAACAUUUGGAAACAGAUGCUAAUACCGCAUAAGAUUACAGUACCGCAUGAUACAGUGAUCAAAGGAGCAAUCCGCUGAAAGAUGGGCUCGCGUCCGAUUAGAUAGUUGGUGAGGUAACGGCUCACCAAGUCGACGAUCGGUAGCCGGACUGAGAGGUUGAACGGCCACAUUGGGACUGAGACACGGCCCAGACUCCUACGGGAGGCAGCAGUGGGGAAUAUUGCACAAUGGGCGAAAGCCUGAUGCAGCAACGCCGCGUGAGGGAAGACGGUUUUCGGAUUGUAAACCUCUGUUUUCGGUGACGAACAAAUGACGGUAACCGAGUAGGAAGCCACGGCUAACUACGUGCCAGCAGCCGCGGUAAUACGUAGGUGGCAAGCGUUAUCCGGAAUUACUGGGUGUAAAGGGAGCGCAGGCGGGAUAGCAAGUCAGCUGUGAAAACUAUGGGCUCAACCCAUAAACUGCAGUUGAAACUGUUAUUCUUGAGUGGAGUAGAGGCAAGCGGAAUUCCGAGUGUAGCGGUGAAAUGCGUAGAUAUUCGGAGGAACACCAGUGGCGAAGGCGGCUUGCUGGGCUCUAACUGACGCUGAGGCUCGAAAGUGUGGGGAGCAAACAGGAUUAGAUACCCUGGUAGUCCACACUGUAAACGAUGAUUGCUAGGUGUGGGGGGUCUGACCCCCUCCGUGCCGGAGUUAACGCAAUAAGCAAUCCACCUGGGGAGUACGGCCGCAAGGUUGAAACUCAAAGGA
Molecule: ribosomal RNA, 905 nt
Filed under: human gut metagenome
Description: bacterial SSU rRNA
Rfam family: Bacterial small subunit ribosomal RNA
Source: RNAcentral